This is an RNA transcript of Aedes aegypti (yellow fever mosquito), 1898 nucleotides long. It is a transcript of the gene named glucosamine-6-phosphate isomerase, with no coding region annotated. Lineage: Eukaryota; Metazoa; Arthropoda; Insecta; Diptera; Culicidae. The transcript has 5 exons. The record is from RefSeq and is a predicted model, not a curated record.
GAAUUCAAACACUGGAUGACCAAAAUAUGCGGGGUGCUGUUGCUUCUGGAGGCUACCCACCGACCGGAGUCAGUCUAGAUUAGCGUUCGAGUAGUUAAACACAGCUGUUGUGUGCAGUGAAUAUAGAACAAAGUUAAAGAUAAACCAUGCGGCUCAUCAUCUUGGACACGUCCGACUACGUCGGUGAAUGGUCGGCCAAGUACGUCAUGAAGCGUAUCAACGAUUUCAAACCGGGCCCGAGCCGGUUCUUCACCCUGGGCCUCCCAACGGGGUCCACGCCGCUGGGCCUAUAUCGCAAUUUGAUCAAAUUCCACCAGGAAGGCAAGAUUUCCUUCAAGUACGUGAAAACCUUCAACAUGGACGAGUACGUGGACCUGCCGCGGGACCAUCCCGAAAGCUAUCACUACUUCAUGUGGCACAACUUCUUCAAACAUAUCGACAUCGAUCCGGUCAAUGUGCACAUUCUGGAUGGAAACGCCCCGGAUCUGGUGGCCGAGUGCAACGCGUUCGAGGAUAAGAUCAAGGCUGCUGGCGGGAUAGAGUUGUUCAUCGGUGGCAUAGGACCGGACGGCCAUAUUGCGUUCAACGAACCGGGAUCGAGUUUGGUGUCGAGAACAAGGGUGAAAACGUUGGCACAGGACACACUGGAAGCCAAUGCACGGUUUUUCGGCAACGAUAUCAGUAAGGUGCCGAAGCAGGCACUAACGGUCGGAGUGGGCACGGUGAUGGAUGCCCGGGAGGUGAUGAUUUUGAUUAUUGGCGCACAUAAGGCCUUUGCGCUGUACAAGGCGAUCGAAGAGGGGGUGAAUCACAUGUGGACGGUCAGUGCCUUCCAGCAGCAUCCGCAUACGAUUAUGAUAUGCGACGAGGAUGCCACGCUGGAACUGCGGGUCAAGACUGUGAAGUAUUUUAAGGCCUUGAGCAACGUUCACCACAAACUGAUCGAGGAAGGCUCGACAGACGUAAGGAAACUGUGCAAGUGAGGUCAACGAGCAACUUUGGACAAACGAACCCUACUCGAGAGCUUCCGGAUAGUACAUUUCCUUUCCUAAUUUGCACUACCUUUACUCCCCCAUUUACCCUCAAACUGUAGUAUGUUAUAAAAACCCUUUGAUUCAAUGUGACUCCCUUUGACAAGUACGCUCUUACGUAUGCGAACUGUGCAUUGAAAGUGGGAUGUGCAUUUCGUUUGUACCUUGUGGGAUUGACCAUCAACACCAACUCCACCACCACCACCACCGCCAGCACAUCACCCAUUCAACUUACAGUUUCGGACGACCUAAAACAUCAAACGGAUUGCUACGUAUUGGCCGCUGCCAGUGGAGACCUUGAUGAUGCUACUCGGCCGAACUGAUGAGGCGUCUGACUGUGUGAUCCAUAUAUGUAGCACCCAAUCCACUGAAGGAGAUGGAGAGGGGGUGACUUUACGACACCCCCAAUCCGUGUCCUUUCGAACCAUCCCCCCAAGCUCAAGACGUAUUUGACCUUUGCCACAUCAACAUCAUUAUCAUCGUCCAUCGAUAUGGAAAAGCGGCCUUAUGAACCAGAACCUGACAGAAUAAUCACACACGAAGCAAGUGAGAGCCUGUACGACGUCCACUCGAAGCUGAUUGAAGGCACGUAGUAGAAGAACCAUAGAAAUAGAACCUUCCAGUUGGAGAUGGCCUGACGACGGUCAGCAGGAGUUGUGCUCUGUCCGGGCGAAUGAACAUCACACAUUUUAGCACUUUUUAUAGUCACUCGAAUCCAAAGGGUAGAAUUAACUUUUAUAAUUUGUGUUACGAUUUAAGUUUAGACGGUCCGUUUUCGUCCCUUACUCUUACUUAUGCCAGCAGCAAACAGCAGCUGGUGUAUGAUUUCUUUACAGCGAUAAUAAAGAUGGAAGUGCAUGGAAUUUU